RNAcentral lists this ribosomal RNA (373 nucleotides) under uncultured bacterium. RNAcentral's name for it is "bacterial SSU rRNA". It matches the Rfam family "Bacterial small subunit ribosomal RNA", at positions 523 to 898 of the family's 1533-position model. The record is from RNAcentral.
AUACGGAGGAUCCGAGCGUUAUCCGGAUUUAUUGGGUUUAAAGGGUGCGCAGGCGGGGGAUUAGGUCGGCGGUGAAAUAUCAGGGCUCAACCUUGAGAGUGCCGUCGAAACCGGUUUUCUUGAGUGCGGAUGAAGUAGGCGGAAUUUGUGGUGUAGCGGUGAAAUGCGUAGAUAUCACAAGGAACACCGAUUGCGGAGGCAGCUUACUAAACCGCAACUGACGCUCAUGCACGAAGGCGUGGGGAUCAAACAGGAUUAGAUACCCUGGUAGUCCACGCAGUAAACGAUGAUUACUGGCUGUUUGCGAUACAAUGUAAGCGGCUGAGCGAAAGCGUUAAGUAAUCCACCUGGGGAGUACGUUCGCAAGAAUGAA